CUCCAGGAAUACUUGAUGGACAUGAUUUCCUACAGGCAAAAGGAAAUAAACAGCUCUGCAUACGUAAAGGGCUGAGGUCAUUGCCCCUUGGUGUUUCUCACCUGGCAGGAGAGAGGAGGGGCUGUAGAAUUUAGCAGGGAGACAAUGAUGGUGACUCAGUGCUGAAAGUUUCCCGCAAGCAGACACAGGCCACUUUCCCUGUGUCUACUCACAAGCUCACCCAAGAAAGAGCCUAUGCCUUCGGGGCUCAUCUCCUCCCUGUCAUCUCUCUCCUCACAACUAAAAGGAAGGCCUAGAACAGCUCCACUCAGGGAAUGAGUGCAGGAGAAUCACCAGGACAUGGUGGGCCAAUGCAGAUUUGGAUUCAGUAGCUCCUGGGUGGUAGGACCUCACAGUCUGCAUCUCUACUAAACUCCAGCUCCUGGUGACCUUGAAUCUACUUUCUGCUGCUGAGAAUUUACCUAUUUUGGAUGCUUCAUGAGACGAUUCCUCUUAGCAAAAGGGCACUGUGUACCCUCCAAGGCUGGAAAUGAUAGGUUUUCGGCGAGGAGUGAAAAUAUUGUGCUGACAGCCCUUUGCCUGUGUAGAGCAGGGUUGUUUACUCGCGCUGGAGCACAGCUUUAUUGAAGCAGAGAGUCAUGGUCCCAUCAUCAGGGUUGCCUAGCAACCAGUCUACGCCACUCCACAGAGUUUCAGAAUGGGCUGGACCACAAGUACCCACUUUGGGGGAUUUCCAGUGACAGUCCUACUCUCACUCCAUCACAUCGCUUCUAAAAUCUGAGUCACAUGGUUCAAAUUUCACAGUACAAAGUGUGUUCUUCAGAUCUGGGGUUCUCUCCAAAAUGGAUAAUCAUUAUUGAUUUUGUAAUGCAAUGCCAAGACCAUCAGUAAGCCUGGACCCACGCCUUCAUCAAUCUACUGUCAGGGAUAGAUUGUGCAUUUUCUGUGUCCCAGUGGGUGCCCCCCCCCCAAAAUAGAGCAGACAAAGCCUGGCCUGCGAGGGUACUGGUUUAGUUCAACAAAUAUCCAUAGAAUGCCCACUUAGGCAAAAUGGCAUAGGGCAGAUUGCCAAAAUCAGGGUUGACUCGGCCUGGAGCCAUGAAGUGGGUCCAACAGGUCUCUGAACUGAGGCAGGAGGCCCCAGGAUCCCGAGGUGUGCUGUAAAGCCUUUGAUGACAGCAUCUUGUGCCUAACACCUGACCACAUCUGAGCCACUAGAGACAGUACCUGAUAAGGAUGCAGAUGCCUGGGCCCUACCUUCCAAAGUUCUGGCUCAGUAGGUCUGGGGGAAGACCAGUAAUCUUCAUUUUAACAAAGACCACUGACGGUUCUGAUGCAGGUGGUCCAAGGACCACACCUGGAGAAACUUCCACCUCUAGGAGCAUCUGGGGUAAAAACUUCACCCAAACUUCCUAAGGUCACAACAUAUCCCCCCCAACAGAGGAAGCAGUAACUUUUGGCCACAGCCCCUAGAGAGGGGAUUUGCCUGGCGUUUCUAUACUGUCCUCUGUCCAAGGACAAAGUGUGCCUUACCCCACAACUGCUUUGUGGUUAAAAGCUUCUAUUGAGGGAUAGUUUAUUUACUUCUAGCACUAUGAAGCAAUAUAGUGAGGUUUUUGUUUCCUUUGAAUCCCAGUCAUUUUAUGCUGCAGAAAAUCUAGAGUUUUUGCCACAGUGGAGGACUCUGCUUAAGGACUACCUAUCUGGGUCUGGUAAUAGCUACCCCAACCCAACGGUCCUGAACGAGUAAUAUGGUUCGACUGUUUCCCUCCCCACCUCCAAAUCUCAUCUUGAAUUGUAGUUCCCAUAAUCCCCACGUGUUGUGGGAGGGACCUGGUGGGAGGUAAUUGAAUCAUGGGGGCGGUUAGCCUCAUGUUGUUCUCCUGAUAGUGAGUUCUCACAAGAUCUGAUGGUUUUAUAAGGGGUUUUUCCUCCUUUUGCUUGGCACUUCUUGCUGCCACCAUGUGAAGAAGGACAUAUUUGCUUCCCCUUAUGCCAUGACUGUAAGUUUCCUGAGGCCUCCUGAGCCAUGUGGAACUGUGAGUCAAUUAAACCUCUUUCCUUUAGAGAUUACCCAGUCUCAGAUAUGUCUUUAUUAGCAGAGUGAGAAUGGGCUAAUACAAUGAGAUAGAACUUAAAUCCCCUGCAUGCUCAUCAGAGGAGGCUCCAUAGAAGAUCAUGGACCUUGAACAAGGUGCAAGUAAGCCUAGAUGCAAUGCAAUGGAUUAGGGAUUCCAGGCUUGAAAACCAGUGGGAAGGAAGGGGUCAGGUGGGAGUGGUCCUCAGUUCCUGUGUGGGCUCUGGCAUCAGGCAGCACACAGGAGUCUUCCCUGCUGGUGGGGAGAGAAAGAGGCAGUAGAAGGGGUCCCGAGCUGGAAGGAUCAGCAGCCACUGCAGACUACUGAUGGAGGCAGUGCCAGGGAGGAAGAGGGUCGUGCCUAGUGGUGUCCAGGCAUUGGCAUGCAGGAGGCAGUCCAGGCACUGGUACCCGGGAGAGUUAAAACUGGGGGAAGGGAAGACAGCAGGGGAUUCUCACAAGGAAUGUGGAGCAGAGGCCCAGGCAGGGGGCCAUCAAGGUGGAGAGGACUGAACCUGGAAAUGGAAGCUUUCCAAGUCACACAUUGAAGAGUAUCAGCAAGGUCUUAAGCCCUGGAACAGUGAGGGAUGGCAUCAGGACAAACUGAGGUCAGUGAGUGUGUUGGCAGCGGACCAGGCUCCGAACGGCACAAACUCCGUCUGGGAUGGGGAAUCUAGCAGAAGACCUAGGAAGAAUUUGAAGAGGGUUCAGAGGUGAAUUAGGGAUGCUUGUAGCUUUUGUGUGGGCAGUGCGUUACUGGGGUGUAGUCCUCAUUGAAGGCCCAAGAUUCUGCCUCUAAGGGUGUAACUCUGCUGAAUCCAGCACCUGAGAGGCUGUCCAGAGCAGGCAGGAGGUCAGCUGUCAGGCUGUGGGCCCAGUUUUAGAGUCAAAUUGAAUUUCCAGUGGGGAAGACCAAAGCUGAAGUCCAUCCCCCAGAGGAUGAGAGAAAGGAAGGCUGCAGCUCAGGCAGCUCAGGGAGUCUGAGGCAGCAAACGAGCUCUGGACCUUGAAGUGGGGAGAGGAAGUCCUUUCACCUCAUCACAGUGCUCACAUCACCUCAGAAACCAGGUGGGACACACAGCUGUGACAGAAAGGGGAGCUCCAAUGGAAAAGCCACCUGCAUCAUGAUGCUGCCUGUCACUUGACUGAGCGUUCCUGCUGCCCAGAAGCUCCUGUUGUCCUCCCAACUGACGGGAUGCUCUUGGACAGUGAUGCCAGCUGGAAUUAAGACUGGGUUUCCAAGGCCACUGUGACCACCAUGAUUAAUCAAUCCCUACUGCUAGGGCUCCAACAUGCCUCAGCCAGAAAGCUGUCAUCUCUUUCCUGGGAACAUUCCUUAAGAAAGAACCAUCAUGGGGUUGGAUGAAACUAAACUUGCAAAGAAGGUGAUGUGUAACCAAGUUGGAGUGUGGAGUGUGGGGUCAAAGAUGAUGGCAUUCUGUGUGGAUCCGCAGUGGUAGGAAUGGAGGUGAGGAGGAAGAAAUGAAUCCAGGAGGCAGCGUGACAGAAAACACAGACUUUGGUGACGACAUGUGAGAAGCUGUAAACUGAUAAGAAGAAAAGACGUCUCCAGCACGUUUGGGUUAGUGUCAUCAACCCAUGGAUCCUGCCCACAGCAAGACUUGGCCCAGUCACAACCCCCUUUCUAGCAAUGUGGAGAUAAAUGUCUUCAACAGAAAGGGUUGGGAAUCCCAUGUGACAGCCGAGCUCUGUUCUGCCUUUGACAGAGUCUGAUGCGAAGUGGAUCAUCUCAGGGAUGUGCCUUGCUGGCUUCACCCACCUGGAGCCUCAGGGGAAGUCUCAGGUGGGAGAUGUUAAUUUGAGAGGCCUGGGUAUAAAAGUAAUCCCAAGAUGUCACAAGAUAGAAUACUUUCUCUGAGGCACAAACAGGGAGAAAAACAAGAACAGAACCCCUUAGCAGGACACUCAUAAUAAGAAGAAUUAGGAAAAGAAAAGGGAACCCGGGGUGACACAAAACUGGGGGAGUCUGUUACCACAAGGUAGAUGGCUACCUCCAGUUGGACAAAUUUCCAUGGACCACCAUGCAAUUUCUGGAGAUGCCGCCUUUGAUCCCCUCUUCUCCCUUUGCUCCUCCCUCAUCUCCACACUCAAAGUGCACAUUAUUCAGAUGUCCAGCACGCCCCUAAAUCAACUUGACUUCUCUUGUUCCUUGGCAGAUUCAAGGACCAGCCUUCAUUGGAUUUGGGGUGGAAGCUACAUGCUUGUGUCAAGGGUUGUAAUCCCAAGUCUGGUCCUGUUUUCUGCAAACAAUAUCAUUGUAAACACAUUGAAUGUGUCUGAAUGGGAUUCACAUAACCUAUUCAAAGGUUAAUAUCACAAGACUGAUACUGAGCUGGAAGCUCUGAAAUGUACUUGUGCUCAGGGAAGAUAUUUGCUAAUGUUUGGCUUUAAUUUCCCCUGGAACUUGUACACAUCAGUGAGGCCUGGGGAUAAUGAAUAACAGCAUGGACAAUAAAUUUUAAAACAAACAAAAUAAAAACUCAAAGAACAUUAAUGCAGACCAGUGCUGGGAUAUGAUGUGUGUUACAAGAGAGUAAUGAUUACUCUUGGUGAGCAGAUUCUAUUAUCUGCUUCUUAGGAGCAAUAGGUGGCUGCCUCUUGAUUGUAUUAGUCCUGGAGUUAUAAAAUCCUCAGUCCUUUACAAUGCAAAAGUGACACAUGGGGCGAGUAAGCAGGUAAGAGAAGGAGCAAUUGGAGGAAGAGAAAUGAGAUCUGUGGCAGGGGCUAUUGGCUUUCCACUAAAACCCAUUCUCUACUUCUUGCUGGGCAAGAACUAGGCAGUAUUUACCAGCCCCUCUUGCAUUUGGGGUGGCCACAAACGAAUUCUGGCCAGUGGAGUGAGGGGCUUCUCAGACAGCAGCCUGCCCCUUCCACACUCCUGUUCCCCUUGCAGUGGCUCAAAGCCCUUGGGUGAUGAUGGAGCCAUAGCUGGAAGAAGCCUGGGUCCCUGGGUCCCCCGUGGAGCCUCCACGCGGGAAGGUGGUCUAGAAAUACACUUCCAUAUUUCAGCCAGCAUGCCUUGGGAUCUUUUUUUAAUGGUGGUUCAGCCUACCCUAACUAAAGCUGGGCCCACUCAGCACGCCCCACACAGGGAUUCUGAAAUGGGAGCAGGGUCCACCAAAACUCUGCUUUUCAGAGAGCUCACACCCUAGGGGAGUAUAAAAGUGACGAGGACACUGGAGCUGGCAGGCAAGACCCAGGAUGCCAAAAUUAGGGCCCCUAAACACAGCAGGGAGGGUGAGCUAUCCUCUUGUGAGGUGGGAGGAGGGUCUCCGUGAGCAGGGCUCUUCUUGGGCCAAACCUGGAUCAUGAGGAGGAGGGAGAGAUGCUGAAUAUGACAUGUCAUUCAAAGUGCUGUCUGGAAAUUUGAGUUCGUUUCUUCAGUAGAGGCAGCACAGGUUAAUCAGACAAACCAGCCAUCAACAGGCUUCCUUUGAGGAGCUUGGUAAGAAUGGAAAACCCAGGGCUGAGGGGCUUACAGAGCUUACAGAGCAGCACAGUAUCAGGGGCCCAAGGCACCAGGAGCUCCUCUGGAAAUUGGCGGGAACAGCUGGAGCAAAGCCGAGGUGAUGGUACCCCUGGUGGCGGGACGGCAGCGACCCUCCAUGGUAUAAGGAGUGGUGAGACCCCAAGGGACAGUGUGCAAGGACUCUGAUGGCAGCAACACUCCUCUAGGAGCUGAUGAGAAAGGCCUGGAAUCCCAAGAUGCACCCCUGAGGUUCAACUCCUACCCUGAUCAUCUCCUCCAAGAUUCUGUGACCUGGGGAAGUCAACAGUACAUUUCAACACCUAUGAUGUCAGCAUGUGAAUGACAUUCCAAUGCUGCUCAUGGGGUCACCCCUGCAAAGGUGAACUCAGUGGAAAGACCUUGCCAAACCGGAAGGAAAACAGGAUACUUUUCUCCAAAAUACUCAUUCAAUAAAUAUUUGCUUAGGCAUUACAAAGACAAAUAAGACUUGCCCCUACCUGUUAGAGGUAUGUAUGUCGAGAAAAGGAAGGAGUGAUUCAAUAAGAGAAACAGCAUUCAGGGAAGAGAAAGAAGGAAGACAUAAAAAUUCAGGUCAUAUUAGAAUAAUAUAUAUAACAAUGAGUUUGGCUAUAUUUCAGAAUUUUCCCAAAAUAUUUCUUUCAAAUUUGAUUGACAUUCUAAACUAUUUAGCUUGAUAUAAAUGAGAUCUUUGUGUACCCUCAGCAGGAACUGCAUUUUAGCUGGUUUUAAAUCUCAACAAUCACUUUCCUGCCUUGGAGAAGGUAUGAACCAGGCUGUUUAUGUAGAAUCCAGGUGGGUUUGAGAGCAGCUUCAGCUGAAUGGAGAGUGACAGGGAGGCUGAGGAAGGGAGGGAGGGGACCCAUGGGCUGUCAUACCCGGGGACUUAGGAAGGCUCUUGCUCUUGCUGGAAGGGUUGCAAAUCCCUAAACCAAGUAAUCCCAUCCCUAAACCAAGUAAUCCCAUUAAAACAUGAAACAUCCAGAGUAAAAUUAAGUUUAGAAUACUAUUUGCAAAGCCAAACAUAGUCUUACCAUAGGAUCCAGGCAUCACACUCCUUGGUAUUUACCCAAAUGGGUUGGAAACUUCCAUAUAAAAAUCUGCACACAGGCCGGGUACGGUGGCUCACGCCUGUAAUCUCAGCACUUUGGGAGGCUGAGGCGGAUGGAUCACCUGAGGUCGGGAGUUCAAGACCAGCCUGACCAACAUGGAGAAACCCUAUCUCUGCUAAAAAUACAAAAUUAGCCAGGCGUGGUGGCACAUGCCUGUAAUACCAGCUACUCAAGGGGCUGAUGCAGGAGAAUUGCUUGAACCCAGGAGGCAGAGGUUGCGGUGAGCCGAGAUUGUGCCAUUGCACUCCAGCCUGGGCAACAAGAGUGAAACUCUGUCUCAUAAAAUAAAUAAAUAAAUAAAUAUAAACCUACACACAGGCCAGGCAGGGUGGCUCACCCUGUAAUCUCAGCACUUUGGGAGGCCGAGGCGGGUGGGGUGGAUCACGAGGUCAGGAGAUCAAGACCAACUUGGCCAAGACGGUGAAACCUCAUCUCUACUAAUAAUACAAAAAUUAGCUGGGCAUGGUGGCACAUGCCUGUAAUCCCAGCUACUCAGGAGGCUGAGACAGGAGAACCGCUUGAACCAGGGAGUCGGAAGUUGUGGUGAGCCGAGAUCACACCACUGCACUCCAGCCUGGUGACAGAGUGAGACUCUGUCUAAAAAAAAAACCUGCACACAAAUAUUCAUGGUAGCUUUAUUCAUACUUGCCAAAACCUGGAAGCAACCAAGAUGUCCUUCAAUAGGUGAAUGGGUAAAUAAACUGUGGUACAUCCAGACAAUGCAAUAUUAUUUGGUGAUUAAAAAAAAAGAAAUGAGUUAAAAUCUUGGAUUUCUUUUUUUUAAAUGAGUUAUAAAGCCACAGAAAGACCUUAAAUACAUAUUGUUAAGUGAAAGAAGCCAGCCUGCAAAGCUACAUCUAUACAUGACUGUAUGACAUUCUAGAAAAGGCAAAACUAUAGAGACAGUGAAAACAUCAGGGAUUGCCAGGGGUUAAGAGGGAAGGAAGGAUGAAAAGGCAGAGGACAGAGGAUUUUAAGGCCGGUGAAACAAUUCUAUAUCAUACCAGAAUGGUGGAUAUAUGGGCUGGGGCUCAGAAAACAAUACCCCCAAAUGAAUGCCUCAGAAGCAAAAGUUUCUCCUGCCCUCCCAUCCCUGACCUCAUUCUCCCCCAAGGUUAGCCAUAGAAACCAGAAGUCCUCUUUCCCAAGGUGGGUCAUAGAAACUUCCAAACCCCUUUUCCCCAAAGCCAGUCAUAAAACCUAAAAAUAUGACUCUAACUUCCACCCCCACCCCACCACCUUUCUGUGUAAAAAUGUGUCAUAAGGAAAUCAUCUAACCUGCCUUGUUUGGUUGUCGGUCGUAAGACCCCCAUUCGAGAGAGGGCCCUGCCCCGUACCCAGCAGGAAGCAAUGCUGCCCAGAGAGGCCACGAGGAAUCUAGACAGGGCUUGCUGGGGGGCCCCACUCACUCUAUGAGCAUUAGCUCAUUCCCUUUUUUGUCCAAUCACAUUUCUAAAUAUUUUGUUGCACCUAAGCUUAAAAGUGGGCAGAGUCCCCUGCAUCUCUGGGUCUUCGUUCUGAAGGCUCCCCUGUCAUGUAACACUAUGACCAAAUAGAUGUGUGUGCCUUUUCUCCUAUUCAUCUGCCUUUUGUCUGUUAAUUUUCAGUGAAACUUCAGAGGGUGAAGGGGAAGUUUUCCUUGGCCCCUACACGUGUCAUUACAAACCCAUAGAAUGUACAAUGCCAAGAGUGGACCUUAGUGCAAGCCAGGGACAUUAGUCAGUAAUAAUGUUCCACGCUGACGCACAAAUGAAAGUUAUUUUAUUUGUGUGAACAGGAGAGCUGACAUGGUCUGUAUUGAUAUCUCCUGGGCAGGGAGGUGGUGAGCACGGCCCCAGAAUUCUGAACUGCCAGGAGCCAGGCAGCUUUGCAUCCUGGAGCUUGGCCAAUUCAGCCGCCCAAGUUCUGGCCAUGGGUCUGCAGCCCCCUGGCCCUUGCCUGCAUAAGCAGGAGAUGAAUGAGAGGAAGCAGAACUCACACAGGAGGCAGGAGGAAGCCACCAGGAAGCUCACUGGCUCCAGGGGCAGCAGAUCUGGGAUGGGGUCCCAGUUCUCUCCUUCCUCAUUCAUGAAAUGGGGCAAUAACAGUACUUACUUCAUUGGAGGUUCUUGGAGGGAAUAAAAGAGAUAUUAGUUAAAGGCAUGGAGCACAGUCCCUGGCACACUGAAAAAGUUUCAUAAAUGUUACCAAUUAAUUGUUUGUAUUAUAUAAUGUCUUCCUGAUAGGUUUUUGGGAAGGAAUAAAUCAAAGGUGAGAAAAUAUAUACAAAAACCUGACUGAGCGAGAACAUAGCUUACACACAAGAAGUGGCAGCUUGGUGAGCACACUGCUAUGUCAUGUUGUGCCUAGUCAUGACAUAGCCAAGGACUGAUACAGGCGCUCCCAUAACCCAUGGAUGGAUUCCUGCUGGACUCUAUUCAUGAAGGUUCUGAUUCUAAUUUUUUUAAAUCCAUGGAUAAAACAGCUACCAGAAAAUCCCAUUUGGGUUUGCAUGUUGUUCUUUGGCUUCGGUGGACAGCAAUCAUAUCAGUUGCAUUUCCCGAGCUAGAGCUCUGAGGCUUAGUCAUCCCCCUCCCUGGCUGGCUUCCAUGCUGUCUGCAGUGGGAGCAUCUUUUAUGAGAUGACAGGAGGGGACUUCAUGGAUGUGCAGCCUGGGCUGCUGGUACUGCCGGGGCUGCUGGUACUGCUGGGACUGCAGGAGAGGGAUGGUUUCUAUUAAUCCUCACAAUGGGAGGGUCCAGUGGGCUGUCACAGCACAGGCAGGGAAUCACAGGCCUCCCUGGGUGACCAGCUGUCCUGGCUGCUACCAGAUUCGGACUCCAGCAGGCUUUCCCUGGGGGCAGAGAUGACCUUGAUCUCUGGGCAGCUAGGCUUCAUGUCCUUGAUAUUUGUGGCCCUGCAUUGUUGGGGCACAGGAUGCAGAGCUGGGGAUGACUGAGCUUAAACUCCUGCUGCUAUGGAGGGCUGCCUCCUUGCCCUGAAUGCCCUGGGAGCCCUUUUAAAAACACAGGUCCAAGGAGUGAUAACAUGAGGGGCAGCACCUCUGGCCCCUGAGAGAGAAACUUGUCCAGUGAUAUGUGCACAAGCAACAUCUCCAGGCAUUCCUUCCAGACAAGGCAAGAGGCCCCCCAGGUGUGAUAUGUUAGCUACACAUGGGCUUGGUCUGUACUGCAAAUGUGUACUCAGUGAUGGGGCCAUUAGAUAUUUGGUUUCUACAUUGCUGCGAUGAAAAUUUACAAAGAACGUUCAUGGGGAAACCAGCUCCCAUCCAUGGGCAGCAGAGGAAUGUUGUCCAAGACUUACAUGGACAGGUAAGACUAAGGUCUCAUCCCAUACUCAGCAGUUCUGUGACCUUUUACAGAACAUAGGGAGGCAAGAAGGGAAAUGAGCCUUAGUUAGCCUCAGGGAGAACCAAGCCAGGUCUGUUUAGGGUCACCACCUUCACUGAACUGCCCUCCACUGGAGGCUAGGAACUGCAGGACAUGAGUUCAACAUCAAAAUAGUAAAAAUAGUGGCAAAUGUUUAGCAGUGUUUGCAACAUAUCAGGUGUCACAGCAACCUCUGCAGGAGAGGUGAGCAGGGCUAAUAUUUAGCAGGUGCACCCUUGUACUGGCUGCCUGCCAUUUAAUAGGUUAGUGCCUCAGCUGGUUAUUGAAUAUUUUCAACAUCGGCCCUGGGUACUAAGAUUAGUUCCCAUUUUACUGAUUAGGAAAUCGAGGUUAAGAGAGGGUAGGCGAUUUGCCUGAGAUCACACAGCCUCGUGUGUGGCAGAGCCUUAGAUUCCAAGCCAGGCUGUCCGAUGCCAGACCUUCACAGCUAUCCUAUGCUUCCACGGCACCCCGGACUUCCCCUUGGAGCACUUGCCAGUGAAACAAACAUGCCCUGGAGAAAUGCCUGGGUGAGUGUGCCUUCUUCCUUGCACAGAGACGGGCCUCUUGCACCCUCUACUUUCCUACUGUGGCUGGGGUGAGGUGGCGGGUAGAAGGGCGUGGGUUGUAGCUCACUGUCUUCUUCAGGAGUCCCACAGUGGGUAGGAGCACCAGCUGUUCAACAAGAGAAGACCAUUAGGCUUCAGGAGGGAGAGGAAGUUUUUUUGGGAAUGAGAGGACCAAGAGAAAUGAGGCACAGGGGAGAUCGGCCCCAAGGCUUGUCCUGAAAAAAGAACAUCAUCUUCUUCUAAGGUCCCGAGCGUGGGAUUUAUCUGACACAUUCUUCCACAUGCUUAUUGCAGGAGGAGCGUUGUGUUAAGUGCUUUGCAUGCAUUAAUUAUCUCAUUUAAACCAAAACCAACCCAGUGUGGCUGAGUGACUAUAUGAUGUCCAUUUUACAGAUGAGGAAAGGGAGGCUGAGAGAGCUUAAAGGACACACCACUUUUGAGUGGCAGAGCUAGGAUGCAAACCAGACCUGACUGCUGUUAAAGCUUGUGAUGUUUGUAGUCAUUCUUCUAUACUGUACCCUCAUAGGAAGUUCAAAAACAGAGAGGGUGGGAUUUGGUCUUUGGCUUUUGUUUAAAUGUAUGUUUUUAUAGAUAUAUUUCCUUAGCCCAUGCUAUGAACCAGGAGUUUCCAUUUGUUUAUUUAACUGAUUUAUUAAGCCUUUUUAGGGGCCAGCCCAGGUUCUGGGCACAAGCUGGAGAAGGAGAGCUGCUGCGGUCCCUAACUCAUGCCUCUUGCGGCAGUGGGUGGGUGUGAAGAGGGAGGAGGGGAGGAGGUGGUGAGAAGUCUGCUUCACAUUAUUCAGAGUUUCCUGUGAGCCAGGCACUGUGCCUGGGGCUAAGUGAUUAUAUCAUUUAGCCCUCCCAAUAGACUCUCAGGUAGACGCUCUCUUAUUUCCACUUUUUCCCAUUUACAGAUGGGGAAAUGAAGACUUAAGAAACUUAGGUAAUCUGCCCAAAGGCUUAUAGCCAAUACAUGGUAAAGCUGAGAUGUGAACUCAAGUAUCUGACUCCAAAGCCUGGGUUUUUUCUCUUUCUCUCUCUCUUUUUUUUUUUUUUUUGAGACAGGGUCUCACUCCUUCACCCAGUCUGGAGUGCAGUGACAUGGUCAUAACUCACUGUAACCUCAAACUCCUGGGCUCAAGUGAUCCUCCUUUCUCAGCCUCCUGAGUAGCUGGGACUACAGGCACACACUUUUAUGCCUGGAUAAUUUUUGUACUUUUUUUGUAGACAGGGUCUUACUGUGUUGCCCAGGCUGGUCUGGAACUCCUAGGCUAAAAUGAUCCUCCUGCCUCAGCCUCCCAAAUUGCUGGGAUUACAGGUGUGAGCCACUGUGCCCGGUCAAAGCCUGUGCUUUGAUUUGCCACCUAAUCCUCCUCCGUUUUAUAUGUAAUGUUAACCCCAAACCUGCAGGGUAGCCGUUAUCAGCCUCAUUUAACUGACAGGGAAGCCCAGUCUCAGAGGGGCCAGAUGCGUGCCCAAGGCCUUGCUGGGAAGAAUGGGAUUCUGGGCCCAGGCAUUCCAGCGCCAAGUCCAGGGCGUGAUUGUUACUCUGCAGUCCCUCUCUGUGACAAGAGCCUCACCGGGAACUCGGGGGUGGGGGCUCCCCCAAGCCUCCUGGCUGGACCCCAUUCCAAGCGUUAGUGUAACAGAUGUUGUGUGGCGGGAGUCUGUUGUGCUCCUGGUGUGUGGCUGGGAUUCAGAGGUGUCUUCAAGCGCUCUAGGAAGCCGGCGGGCGGGGCCAUGGCCGCAGAAGUGAGUGCAGGGAUGGAGAAUACAGGGAGUCCCUUGACCGGAGGAGACUUUGGAGGCAUUUGUGCUGUUCGCGUGAACUCCGCGUCCAUGGCCUACCCUGUGAUUGUCAUCAUUUCUAUGUGAGAAAAAAGCGGCUACUGAUUCACAGCGAAAGGAAACGGACUAGGUUCUGAAACUUCCUGUUUGUCUGGUAUCUGCAAAGAUAUGUGUGUUAUGCAAAUACCCUGACUCCCCAGAACUGCAGGUGUGUACAAACACACACACGCACGCACACACACACACACACACACACACACACACACACCCUCUGCUUGGCCCCAUGCAGUGGGUCUCCUCUGUACCCAGUAAACUGAAACAUGACUCUACUAACAUGGUAGCCAGGACACUGGGGACUCUGCUGUCGGAAUCCCUGAUCAUAGAGACAGCAGCUUUGGCCUUCGGCUCAAAGAGCUUCACAGAUGUCCCUUGUAGGCGAGUCCUGGCUCUGGCUCCUGGCCCACUGCAGAGCCUGGGAGUGAGGCAGGCAGAUAGGCGAGGGGGUCUCACCCAGGCCCAGGAACUCCAUUUUCUCUCAGCCCCAUUCCUCCCUCCCUCGGCUCCCUGACCGUGCUGAACGCAGCUCCCAAGCAGGGGGAGAGUCCAGAUAAUGGCAGAUGUUGAUUGUUUCCUGUUGGUUCACUGUGUCCUUUUGGCAGGCCUUUCUUUCUUUCAAAAUAUAUUCAGGUUUGAGCCUAGCACUGCAGCUUGCUGAGUGGGUCUAUGCUUCCAUAGAGCAGUGGCUUCGGGCACAGGCCUGAGACCCAGCCUGCCUGCGGGCUGCUAGCUGCCAGCUACCUCUGCACUAGGAAGGUUUUUAAACAGCUGAAUGCAAGCUUCAGCGUUAAUAGGUGAAAGUGAAAAUGACAUGUGACUUCUAGACAAUUCUCAUAGAUUCAAAAUAAUUGUUCUCUGUAAUGAGUAAAAUAACACUCUUGCAACAGCUGAAUGCUUUUCUCAUAUUCUGAGUUGCCCGAAUUAGGGGAAAUGGGUCUAAAUGGCUGCAAGAGGCAGUUUUGUCAGCUAGACGUCUUUUUACAAGUAUAUUGCAUCCUUCAGUCUCUUCCUGCCCCACCCUAAGACCCUCACCUGGGAAAUGGGAGGAUGGCUUGGAAGGCAAUUGUCAGGCCUCUGAGCCCAAGCUAAGCCAUCAUAUCCCCUGUGACCUGUACAUACACAUCCAGAUGGCCCGGUUCCUGCCUUAACUGAUGACAUUCCACCACAAAAGAAGUGAAAAUGGCCUGUUCCUGCCUUAACUGAUGACAUUACCUUGUGAAAUUCCUUCUCCUGGCUCAUCCUGGCUCAAAAGCUCCCCCGCUGAGCACCUUGUGACCCCCACCCCUGCCCGCCAGAAAACAACCCCUUUGACUGUAAUUUUCCUUUACCUACCCAAAUCCUAUAAAACAGCCCCACCCCUAUCUCCCUUCGCUGACUCUCUUUUCGGACUCAGCCCGCCUGCACCCAAGUGAAAUAAACAGCCUUGUUGCUCACACAAAGCCUGUUUGGUGGUCUCUUCACACGGACGUGCGUGAAAGCGAUGAAGCUGAGGUUGCAGGAAAGGAGUGAUCACCUGGCUCAGAGCUGGGCCCUAAAAGUCUAGGCCAGAGCCUCCCUGUUGUGAAAGGGAGUGGAAGGAGAAGGGGCUGGGAUGGGUCAAACUGGGUGGAAAGCUAGGCUCUGCUGUUUAGAAGCUGUAUGAUCUUGAGCAAGUUGCUUAACCCUUGCUAAGCCUCAGUUUCCCUUCCUGCAGAAAGGGAUUAUCAUGGGGACGAAAGGGGAUCCAGAACCUGGAGUGGAGGAUAGGGUGGGUAAGUGGAAGGUGUCAUGAGGACAACAUAUGCUGAGACACUCACCACCCUUUCUGAGGGCGCCUCAGCAGCAGGUCACAUGGUGCCUGAAACUCGUUUUUCUGAGUUGUGCUGGUUUGUGGAAUGAAAAGGGAAGCCAGGCUUCCUUCUUACUAGCUCUGACUGCCUUGUUUUAAGGAUCAUUCACCUUCCCUAAGGAUGGGAUAAAGCCUUCCUGUAGAGCAGACCGAUCUCCUUCUUUAUCCCUACAGUUCUCCCACCGUGGCCAUGGCCUUGGGGGCUGUUCUGACUCUUACAUUUAUAUAUCACUCCUACUUUCCCAGCCAGCAGGAUAGAAAACCUGAGAAGGGAAUUCUGCCUUAUAAACAUUUCUUACAGAUGGGGCAGACAGGUUGUUUCUUUUUUACCAAGGAAGCUCAGGGCAAUUCUGGUUGCAGGAAUGUUAAGCACUGAUAAAGAAGAGAAGAAAAAAUAUUCACCCUCCAGGGCCUGGAAUUUCCCCAUUCCUGAGCCCUGGCUUCCCUGUCUGAGAUAGAGACUGUCAGUCAGUCACCUACCAAUUCCCAAUUUCUCUUUCUGCUUUACUAAAAGUACUUGAUUUGGGAUGGGGGUGGGGGGUGGCAGGCAGCAAUACAUCCAAGUAAAAGACUGUACUUCCCAAAUCUCUUGAAACUAGGGACAGCCAAUGAGGUAUAAAUGAAAAUUAUUGGGGCUGGGGUCCCAAAAGCUUCUCUCUCUUUUUUGAGACAGAGUCUCAGUUUGUCAUCUAGGCUGGAGUGCAGCAGCAGGAUCACAGCUGUAAAAUCAAAAGUGUCAAAGACAGGUCUCAAUCAAUUUAGAAAGUUCAUUUUGCCAAAGUUAAGAGCACACCUUUAACCUCAGGUGAUCCUGACAGCAUGUACCCAAGGUGGUUGGUGCCCAACUUGGUUUUAUACAUUUUAGGGAGCAUAAGGCAUCAAUCAAUAUGUGUAAGAUGUACAUUGGUUUGGUCUGGAAAGGUGGGACAACUGAAAGGUGGGACUUCCAAGUCAUAGGUGGAUUCAAAGAUUUUCUGAUUGGCAAUUGGUUGAAAGAGUUAUUAUCGAUAGAAAAGAAUGUCUGGGUUAUGAUGAGGGGUUUUGAAGGGAGGAGGGUAGAAUGAGGCAUGUCUGACUCCCCCUUCCCAUCAUGGCCUGAACUAGUUUUUCAGGUUAACUUUGGAAUGCCCUUGGCUAAGAGGAAGGGUCCAUUCAGAUGGUUGGCGGGGGGGCCUUAGAAUUUUAUUGUUGGUUUACGUGGCUCAGUGCAGCCUUCACCUCCUGGGCUCAAGUGAUCCUUCCAUCUCAGCCUCUUGAGUAGCUGUGGCCACAGGUGCAUGCCACCAUGCCUGGCUAACUUUUUUUUUUGGUAGAUAUGGGGUCUUGCCAUGUUGCCCAGGCUGGUUUUGAAUUCCUAAGCUCAAGUUAUCCUCCUGUUACAGGAAAGGGGUCCUGAUCCAGAUCCCAAGAGAGAGUUCUUGGAUCUCACACAAGAAAGAAUUCGAGGUGAAUCCAUAGAGUAAAGUGAAAGCAAGUUUAUUAGGAAAGUAAAGAAAUAAAAGAAUGGCUACUCCAUAGGCACAGCAGCUUCCAGGGCUGCUGGCUGCCCAUUUUUAUGGUUAUUUCUUGAUUAUAUGCUAAUUAUUUAGUGUUUGCAAAAAUAGCCAGGCUAUAAGGGGUGGAUUAUUCAUGAGUUUUGUGGAAAAGGGGUGGGCAAUUCCCAGAGCUGAGGGUUCCUCCCAUUUUUAGACCAUAUAGGGUAACUGCCAGAUCUUACCAUGGCAUCUGUAAACUGCCAUGGUGCUGAUGAGAGUGUCUUUUAGCAUGCUAAGGCAUUAUAAUUAGCAUAUAAUGAGCAGUGAGGACAAUCAGAGAUCACUCUUAUCACUAUCUUGCUUUUGGGGGGUUUUAACCAGCUUCUUUACAGCAGCCUGUUUUAUCAGCAAGGUCUUUGUGACCUGUUUCUUGUGCUGACCUCCUAUGUCAUCCUGUGACUUAGAAUGCCUACCCUUCUAGGAAUGCAGCCUAGUAGUUCUCAGUCUUAUUUUACCCAGCCCCUACUCAAGAUGGAGUCCCUCUGGUUCAAAUGCCUCUGACACUCCCACCUCAGCCUCCCAUAGUGCUGGAAUUACAGGCUUGAGCCACUGCACCUGGCCUUAAAAGCUUCUUAAAGGGAUCUAAGAAAUUGACUCUCCCCACCCUCUUUCUUAACCGUAAAACACUAAUGUAAUGGCUGGAGUUCUAGCAACCAUAUUGGGCCAUGAGGCAACCUUGAAAAAGGAAGCCACAAACUAAAACAUUGACUCUCAACCUUUAAUGCUGAAAAAAGAAAAAGUAUCCCCUGACAUCCGGGAAAUGGCCUGACACUUUGAGCUAGGGCUUAAUCUUAUUAAAAGCUUGCCUGGCUAUUUUUGCAAACACUGAUGUCAGUCGCCAGUCUGCAACUGUGAUGAAGAGGUCAAAAGAGACCCCUUCCUAACUCUGUCUAAGCACAAACAACUCCACAAAACACUAGACACACCCCCUUCUGGCUCAUUAAGUGACAGGGGCCUCCUUAUCAACUAUAACUAUAGCCUUGAUCUUGUCUUCUGUCCUUAUAGAUAAGAUUUACUAACAUACCCAGCUGCAGAAUUGUCCCAUUUCCAGACAGCAGACAAUGCAGAGCAAGCCCUUCCCUCCUAGACCCUCCCCAAAUUCACCUAACCAAAGCCCAAAGCCUAAAAGUCCCUUUGAACACCUUUUUAGUGAAAUGGUGCCCCCAUGAUAUCUUCCUCAUUGCAACCAGUAAUAAAGCCAACUUGUUCAAAUGCCGGUUUGCAAAUAAAUCACUUGGGGAUUUGUUAAAAUGCAGACUGUGGUUCAGUAGGUCUGAAGUAGAGCUUAUUCUGUGUUUGCCACAAGCACCCAGUGAGGCACUUGCUGCUGGACCAUGGUCCCACUUUGGGUAGCAAGGCAGUUAAGGGUGGCAGAUUAGAACACUGGACAUGCUUAACCUUGACCAUGGGACCACUGUAUGCAUCCUGUUGUUUCUCAGUGAAAAUAUGCCUGUAUUUCAUGUAAGCCCCCGCUAUAUAUGUUGGCUACUAGCAACUUAACCAACACGUUGUCCUUGUCCUUAGAAAAUGUGUGGUUACAGCCAGGUGUGAGCAGGCCUAGACCAGGCUUGGGGAUUUAUUGACCAAAUGUGGUGCCUUUGAGGUGAAACCACAAGUAAUCAGAGAAGCUGAGUCACUCCACUUAGUGGACUGGUGGAAAAUUCUCAAAUGGUCUUAAGCUGGCCCCAUGUUGGGCUGAGGACUAGAGAUCUCAGAGGCUCCACCUGCCCAUCCAAUUGCAGGUGUCUGGGCCUGGCCCCACCUUGCCUUCCUGCUCCAUUGCUCACCAUUCCACACCCAAAGGCACCAUGAUGUUUUGUACCUCCUUGCCUUUGCUCUUCCCUUUGCCAGGGAUGCCCUUCCCACCUUCCUCCACGUGGCUAACCCUCCCUCAGCUCUGCUUCCAGGGUGUCUCCCCUGGUCGCCAAGGGCUGGCUAGUGCCUCUUCUUUGCUCCCAGGGCACCCUGUGCCUUUCUGUGCCCCAACUAUUUCCCAGUUUGUAGCAGUUAUUUAUUUUGUGGUCAUCUUCCCACUGGUCGUCAGCUCCUAGAGGGCAGGGAUCAUGUUUUGGGUUAUUCAUCACUGCAUCCCCUGACAUAGUCCCCAAACCUCGAGAACUAUGAAACUGCACCAAAGGUUCCAGCUCCCCCACAGCCUGCCCUUAACCUUGAGCCAUUUGAAGGGAGAGUAUGAGACAAUAGUGAAAGAAACCCUUCUCUAAUGUUUUCCCCAUUUAGGUUAUGUGAAGUUGGCAGUUCCCAAGGGCUUUAGGCUUGAAGCUGUGGGUCAUACCCCUUCGGAAACUUGGUCCCCAAGAGAAAUGUAUGCUUCUGAAAACCACAGGUGCAUGAAUCGUGUUUAGUAAAUGACUACUAAACUGAAAUCAGGACUUGUCUAUAUCUUGGCUUCUCAAACUUGAAUAUGCUUAUCAUCUGGAUAGCAAAAGCAUUCCUACACGUUGAGGCCUGCCAGCGUGGGUGUCACCCAGGAGCCACUCGGAAAGGCUCAUCGGAAACCACCCCGGACUGACUGAGGCAGAAUCUCUGGGGGCAGGACCCAGGCCUCAGCAUAAAAACUCCAGGUGACGGAAGAGCUCCCACCUAACAGAAAGAAAAUAAAAGAGACUGAGAAACCACAGAAAUAAAGAAGCGCUGAUGACAAUGCCUGCUUGCUGAUGGUUACGAUGAUCAUAGCAGUGUGCAUUUUGUAUGCAUGAAGCCUGCGACUAAAUAAACGUGUGGGGAAAUAUUUGUAAGGAAAUAAGCUAUUAAUAAAAUAAGCUAAAAUCACAGUUGCUGGACUAUGACUGAUUUUUCCCCUUUCUCUCAUUUAAAAUUAAAUAUUUGUAUGACUUGUAUAAUAGAAAAAUACAUGUAUUCAAUCUUAAAAAGAUAUUCUUAUUUUACACUUUACGGGACAAAAGAGGUUGUAGGUUGGAAUGGUUCAGUCCCCUUGUGACAACUCAAAAACAGAGACCUUAAGCCUUUCUCAACCAAUGUUGCGGGACAAGCAGGCGUGUGAGGCGACAAUGCCAUUAGGGUAUUUUUUGGAAAAAUUUUAGUGUGAGAGACAAAAGCCAAAUUCAAACUGGCCUGAGCCAAAAUAGGUAGGAAAGGGAGAAGCGGAGACAGGGAGGAAGAAAGAGAGAGAACAGAAAGAAAAAGGGAGAAAUGUCGAAAGGCAAAAUUACAACACAUUUAGUUAAAUGAUUGAAUUGGUUUUUAUUUGUAAUUCAUGAAUUGGGGCAGCAUCUCCUCUAAAACUUUAGGAAAAGUGCUCUGAUGAGCUAAACAGAGAAGCUUGGCUUUAUAGGCAGAAAAGGGUGAAGAAAGCAGACACAGGGAACAAAAAGCAGAUUGGUAAGCUCAGGUUACUUCAGGUUACUUUCCUUAUAAAGGUUAAAGUAGAGGGGACUUCCUUAUCAUGCUGGCUACAACUGGCCUGUUUGGGGAUUUGCAUAUUAUCUCUCUCUGUCUUGAGUUCUGGGAAGGUCUGAUGACUUAGUUUCAGUUUGGUGAUAUGGAACUUAGCAUGAGUGACUCCAUCUUGGUUUGGUCUACUGGGGCCUCCUGCAGGAGCUCAGCCCAAAUCAGUGACCUCCUAUAAAUUUCAUUUAAUAGAAAAGGAAGGAAGGAAGGAAGGAAGGAAGGAAGGAAGGAAGGAAGGAAGGAAGGGAGGGAGGGAGGGAGGGAGGGAGGGAGGAAGGGAGGAAAGAAGGAAGGAAAGAAAGAAAGUUGCUUAUAAGUUGCUUAUAACUAAAAAGACCAGCUGGACCCAGGAGCUCUGAGGUUGCUUUCAGGCCUCUGUCCAUCUCUUAGUUUUCCAUCCUCAGACAGGCUCUGCCCUGCCUUACAGUCUAGCAUUGUUGGCCAAAGGUGACUGACUGGCCCAGCUUGGGCUAUAUGUCCUUCCCUGUGGCCAGAGAGAUGUGUCUCUGUGAUGGCCAGGCUUGGGUCACGUACUCCCUCCCCUACCAGAAUCACAUGAAAAGAGGGAGGAAGAGCCGCUUUCCACCAAAGGAAACUGAAGUGCUAUUGUCAGAGGGGUUGCUGGGCAGACCAAAAAGAUGACAAUAUCUGCUCCAAUCGCUCGGGUUGUUGGUGCUUGGCAGAUUUGCCCCUACGUCACUUUUCAGAUGUGGAUAAGACUGAAGGUGACCACAGGCUUCCGAGAGGAAAGCUGCCAAUGGGGGUGUGAGAGGAGGGGGAAUUCUUACUCACCAAGGUUAACACUGUGCACACUGUUCUCCGAGGAAGUGGGAAUUUCCACAUGGUGAGUUCCCUUCCCUGUACAAUGAAUUACUAUCUUGAUGAGAAACCCGUGGGCAGCUGGUUGAGAAGAGAAAGGUAUUCUCUGAAUGAGAGGGAAUUUACCACCUUCCUUUCAAUGGUGACAGUUUUUUCUGGUGUCACCGCAGGGUGUGGAUUGAUUCAUAUACAAAUAUACAUAUCUACAUAGAUGCCAUUCUGCUAGCCUCUGCAAAAUGCAUGCCUGGAGACCAUUUCUGCUGCCUAGGAGAUGUCAACUUUGUCACCACCACUCUCUCUCCACCACUCCCACACCCUGCAGGGGCCAGGUGUGUGGGUGGGGAGCUCCCCAGCUGGAGGCCAGAUUAGAGGUCUCUGUGUGGUGGGGAUGGGGAGGAUGGGGUGGGAAUGAGGUGGUAGGCCACUGGCAGUGGUCCAAGUUCCAUCCAGGAUCUGUCCUAGGCCUCUCCCCAGGCUGUCGCUUCCACCAUUGAAUUUCUAACCUGGAUCUCUAAGGUUAUGAAUAUCUCAUUCCCGCAUCCUGGGGUGCUCAGACAUGUCUCCCCUGAGUCUCUAGCUGGGCUCGUGGCUGUGAUCAUUGUCCUCAGAGUUCCAUCCUCCCAACAAAGGGACAGAAGAAACACAGGGCCCACUUUUCUGGAUUCUGAGUUGGAGCCAAGAAAUUCUAUCUGCUGCUUCCUUCCUGUUGAAUUAUCCCCCAAGGACCCCUUAGUCCCUCCAGUCUCCUCCAGAGGCCUAUAGCUGCCCCAGCUCCCCAUGAUGGAUACCUGGCUCUUUCCUACCCAGAGGAAAACGCAGGCCCUUCCCCAGCCCUGCACUGAACUCCUGUGAGUGGCUGAGGAGAUGAGGAGGUGUGAAGAGUGAGUGUGUUGGGGAGGGAGGGGUCCCCUGCCACCAGGUACCAAGGACUUCUGCCAGAUCACCAGAACUGACACCUGGUUCCACCGGCCAGCUGUGAAGUGUCGGCCCUGACAUCAACAGCUGACCUCCCACAGGGCCUAAGGAAACGGAAUUGUGG
Molecule: long non-coding RNA, 21129 nt
Filed under: Homo sapiens (human)
Lineage: Eukaryota; Metazoa; Chordata; Mammalia; Primates; Hominidae
Description: HSALNT0141022
Source: RNAcentral